GGGCCCGCACAAGCAGCGGAGCAUGUGGUUUAAUUCGACGCAACGCGAAGAACCUUACCUGGGCUUGACAUGUUCCUGACAGGUGUGGAAACACACUCUUCCUUCGGGACAGGAUCACAGGUGGUGCA
This 128-nucleotide ribosomal RNA is filed under the name uncultured bacterium. Its description in RNAcentral is "partial 16S ribosomal RNA". It matches the Rfam family "Bacterial small subunit ribosomal RNA", at positions 917 to 1045 of the family's 1533-position model. The record is from RNAcentral.